GUAGGGCUAUUUGUGGAGAUACGUUCUCUCUCUAAAUCUCAUAGUCUCUCAUGGCGACCUGCUUCGUUCUUGUGUCUAUCUCAGGUGGAUCGCAACUUCAUGCGCGUGAGCUUUGGUCAACAAAACCAAAUUCAUUUGGAAAAACUCCAAAACUGAUAAUACAGAA
This is a long non-coding RNA of Juglans microcarpa x Juglans regia, 166 nucleotides long. RefSeq lists it as uncharacterized. NCBI's taxonomy places the organism in Eukaryota, Viridiplantae, Streptophyta, Magnoliopsida, Fagales, Juglandaceae. The transcript has 2 exons. The record is from RefSeq and is a predicted model, not a curated record.